UUUCUGGGUUUGGUGGGAUAUCUUAUCCUGCUUUAAGGUGUUGAAGAUAUUAAAUUGCUGAUCUCUCACUCACUUCCACAUGACACGCAAUUAUAUAAGCAGCCUAGCUAGCUAUUUCAUGGUCACGUGUUUAAUUUGUUUUGUGUACAUUGCCUUGGCUUUCCUCACCUACCCAGCUAGCUGCUGCCUUUCAAACAAACCAAAAUAUGGAGGAAGAGCAGUCGGUGGCGAAGUUGCCUCUGAUUGAAGCAGAGUGCUCUGCUCGUUUAGGGAUUAGCAAUAUUGAUUAUGAUCAAGAUCAACAUGGUGGUGUUGGCAGCCUCGACAGUGCCGGUGCUCCUGUUGAAACAAGAUCGACGGCUGUUCUAUGUAUUUGCACCUUUGCGGCCGCCUGCGCUGCCUUCACUGGUGGUUGUCUAGCGUCAUAUUCAUCAUUGGCUGAGUCUGGAAUUAUAGCUGAUUUGGGUCUCACUGUGGCAGAGUACUCGGUUUUUGGUUCAAUAAUGACAGGGGGAGCAAUGCUUGGCGCCGUAAUAAGUGGGAGGAUGACAGAUUUCAUUGGUCGUAGACGUGUAUGCAUGUUCUUCAAAUAUACAAUCCCUCUUCUGCUGGAAUAUAUGAAUAAUAUUAAGACAUUAUGGGUUUUGGACAUAUUCUACAUCGUAGGCUGGCUUGCCAUUAUUUUCGCUGAGGGCGCUUGGUUGCUCGACCUUGGAAGACUGUCGCUGGGAAUUGGGUUUGGGCUUACUUGUUAUGUGGGACCUGUAUAUCUUGCAGAAAUAACACCAAAGAAUGUAAGAGGACUACUAAUGUCAAUCAGUCAGUCAAUGACUGGUUAUGGUGCUUCUUUCACGUUUUUAGUCGGUUCUUUCGUCACCUGGCGUUCUUUGGCCAUAAUCGGUUGUAUUCCGAGUCUGUUACUGCUCCUUGCUCUAUUUUUCAUUCCAGAGUCUCCUAGAUGGUUGGAUUAUAUCGAAAACCAGCGUCUUCAACAGAACUCCGACGACAAUGUCCUCAACUUGUUUAGGCGAAAAUAUCUUCAUAUAGUCAUUAUUGGAGUUGGGCUGAUGGUAGUGCAAACAUCAGAUGGCCUAUGUGGAUUUCUGUUUUAUAUGAGUGAAAUUUUUGAUUCAGCUGGUAUCUCUAGUACACUGGGGUUUAUCCUGGUUGCUGUUGUUCAGAUUCCUUCAUUUGUUUUGACUGCAGCACUGAUAGAUAAAUUUGGAAGACGAACGUUGUUAAUGGCUUCUGCAACUGGGCAAUGCUUAGGCUGCUUCCUCACCGGAUUAUCCUACUUCUUGCAGGUAUAUAAAUUCGAAGGUAUAUAUUGUGAUACCCCAUAUGAUAAGUGAGGAUAGGUGGUGUAUGAGAUCCCACAUUAUUUGAGAAUGAGAAGUUCUAACUCUUUUUAAAGUUUUAAUGGGGUUCCAAUUAUAUCAUUGAUUAGUCCAUUUAGAGUAUAUGUCAUACGGUUGAAGCCUUCUCUUAGGGCGUUACAUAUAUAUUGAUUGAAGAUAGAAAACUGUUGUAUGUUUUGAAUAUAUAUAUAUAUAUAUAUAUAUAUAUAUGACCAUAAUCAGGAUGUUGACUGGUGGAAAGAAGCAAGUCCCAUUUUGGCACUGAUAGGAGUUUUGGUAUGCAAAUUUAUUUGACAAACAACAUUUCAAUCUAUCAUUUUUUAAAUCUCUCUCCUUUCAUUUAGUCAAUACUAAAGAAUUGGGCAAGAAAGUGAAAAUACCACUCUGUUUUUACUAGGUAUAUAUGGGAUCUUACGCAUUUGGCAUGGCUCAAAUACCAUGGAUUGUGGUGUCAGAGAUACUUCCAAUAAAUGUAAAGGGUUCAGCUGGAACCCUUUGCAAUCUAGUGAAUUGGUUUUGUUCUUGGGUGGUUUCAUACACUUUUAACU
Carya illinoinensis is the source of this 1906-nucleotide RNA transcript. It is a transcript of the gene named sugar transporter ERD6-like 15, with no coding region annotated. The transcript has 14 exons. The record is from RefSeq and is a predicted model, not a curated record. Lineage: Eukaryota; Viridiplantae; Streptophyta; Magnoliopsida; Fagales; Juglandaceae.